This 465-nucleotide ribosomal RNA is filed under the name Vreelandella stevensii. RNAcentral describes it as "partial 16S ribosomal RNA". It matches the Rfam family "Bacterial small subunit ribosomal RNA", at positions 338 to 795 of the family's 1533-position model. The record is from RNAcentral. Lineage: Bacteria; Pseudomonadati; Pseudomonadota; Gammaproteobacteria; Oceanospirillales; Halomonadaceae.
CCUACGGGGGGCAGCAGUGGGGAAUAUUGGACAAUGGGGGCAACCCUGAUCCAGCCAUGCCGCGUGUGUGAAGAAGGCCCUCGGGUUGUAAAGCACUUUCAGUGAGGAAGAACGCCUGGUGGUUAAUACCCAUCAGGAAAGACAUCACUCACAGAAGAAGCACCGGCUAACUCCGUGCCAGCAGCCGCGGUAAUACGGAGGGUGCGAGCGUUAAUCGGAAUUACUGGGCGUAAAGCGCGCGUAGGUGGCUUGAUAAGCCGGUUGUGAAAGCCCCGGGCUCAACCUGGGAACGGCAUCCGGAACUGUCAAGCUAGAGUGCAGGAGAGGAAGGUAGAAUUCCCGGUGUAGCGGUGAAAUGCAUAGAGAUCGGGAGGAAUACCAGUGGCGAAGGCGGCCUUCUGGACUGACACUGACACUGAGGUGCGAAAGCGUGGGUAGCAAACAGGAUUAGAUACCCUGGUAGUC